Molecule: ribosomal RNA, 372 nt
Filed under: Mucochytrium quahogii
Lineage: Eukaryota; Bigyra; Thraustochytrida; Thraustochytriidae
Description: labyrinthulid quahog parasite QPX partial small subunit ribosomal RNA
Rfam family: Eukaryotic small subunit ribosomal RNA
Source: RNAcentral
AUUCCAGCUCCGUUAGCGUAUAUUAAAUUUGUUGCAGUUAAAAAGCUCGUAGUUGAAUUUCUGGUAGGAGUAACCUGGCCUUUGACGAAUGUCAUUGUUGCUGUGUGUCAUCUCUGGCCAUCCUCGGUUUACUUUUUGUAAGCCGUCAUUUACUGUAAAAAAAUUUAGAGUGUUUCAAGCAUUUCGUAGGAAAAGAAUAUAUUAGUAUGGAAUAAUAAGAUAGGACUUUGGUGCUAUUUUGUUGGUUUGCACACCAAAGUAAUGAUGAAUAGGGACAGUUGGGGGUAUUCGUAUUUAAUUGUCAGAGGUGAAAUUCUUGGAUUUAUGAAAGACGAACUACUGCGAAGGCAUUUACCAAGGAUGUUUUCAUUA